CAACCAGGGGUAUCAUGCCUUGUAACGGCGAGUGUGCGGCGCAACAGCUCAAAUUUGAAAUCUCGGCUCUCGGGCCCGAGUUGUAAUUUGUAGAGGAUUACUUUUGAUGCGGUGCCUUCCGAGUUCCCUGGAACGGGACGCCAUAGAGGGUGAGAGCCCCGUCUGGUUGGAUGCCAAAUCUCUGUAAAGUUCCUUCGACGAGUCGAGUAGUUUGGGAAUGCUGCUCUAAAUGGGAGGUAUAUGUCUUCUAAAGCUAAAUACCGGCCAGAGACCGAUAGCGCACAAGUAGAGUGAUCGUAAAGAUGAAAAGCACUUUGAAAAGAGAGUUAAAAAGUACGUGAAAUUGUUGAAAGGGAAGCGUUUAUGACCAGACUUGGGCUUGGUUGAUCAUCUGGGGUUCUCCCCAGUGCACUCUUCCAGUCCAGGCCAGCAUCAGUUUUCGCCGGGGGAUAAAGACUUCGGGAAUGUGGCUCUCUUCGGGGAGUGUUAUAGCCCGUUGUGUAAUACCCUGGCGGGGACUGAGGUUCGCGCAUCUGCAAGGAUGCUGGCGUAUUGGUCUUGCAACGAGGGGU
RNAcentral lists this ribosomal RNA (572 nucleotides) under [Gibberella] fujikuroi var. moniliformis. RNAcentral's name for it is "partial large subunit ribosomal RNA". It matches the Rfam family "Eukaryotic large subunit ribosomal RNA", at positions 62 to 652 of the family's 3401-position model. The record is from RNAcentral. Lineage: Eukaryota; Fungi; Ascomycota; Sordariomycetes; Hypocreales; Nectriaceae.